AUGCACUGGCAGGUGUGGGAUAAGAUGUGUGUAGCAAAAUCAAAAGGAAGUCUCGGUUUUCGGGACUUUGAAACUUUCAAUGAUGCUAUGCUGGCCAAGCAAGCUUGGAGAAUUCUUGACAAUCCAAACAGCUUUUGUGCCCGUGUUCUAAAGGCAAGAUAUUUCCCAAAUGAGGGGUUCCUAACUGCGGGUUGUCCAAAGAGUGGAUCUAAAACAUGGAAGGCUAUAAUUGUAGGGAGAGAGAUGCUCAGCAAAGGACUAAUUUGUAGAGUGGGAGAUGGAUCCACAACCGAAGUGUGGCAUGACCAUUGGAUAGAGGGCUCGACGUCCAUGACCCCAAUGGGGGCGCUCAAGCCAAAUUCUAUUCAGCUUGUGGCUGAUUUGAUCGAUCCGGAGACAAACCAAUGGGACGUAGACAACAUCCGAAGUCUGUUUUUUUUUCCCGGAUGCGGAUGCGAUUUUGGCCAUGCCUAG
This 474-nucleotide ribosomal RNA is filed under the name Triticum aestivum (bread wheat). RNAcentral's name for it is "partial small subunit ribosomal RNA". The record is from RNAcentral. Lineage: Eukaryota; Viridiplantae; Streptophyta; Magnoliopsida; Poales; Poaceae.